Molecule: long non-coding RNA, 15894 nt
Filed under: Eutrema salsugineum
Lineage: Eukaryota; Viridiplantae; Streptophyta; Magnoliopsida; Brassicales; Brassicaceae
Description: long non-coding RNA (ESAL_LNC000836)
Source: RNAcentral
AAAUGUCACCGAUUCCAAAUCUCUUUGCCGACAACAGAAUCAAUCUCACUCCUUACGCAAUUCUCAUCCUCACCGCUAUCUUCUCGGUUUUCUGGUGGUACCUUUUCAAACGCCAACCGCAACCGCCUCUGCCGCCUGGACCGCGAGGGCUACCAAUCGUCGGAAACCUCCCGUUUCUUGACCCUGACCUUCACAACUAUUUCACAAACAUCGCUCAGAAAUACGGUCCAAUCUUCAAACUCAAUCUCGGCUCAAAGCUAACCGUCGUGGUCAACUCUCCAUCGCUGGCUCGAGAGAUCUUGAAAGACCAAGACAUCAACUUCUCAAACCGAGAUGUCCCUCUCACGGGCCGAGCCGCUACUUAUGGUGGUAUUGACAUCGUCUGGUUACCAUAUGGUGCCGAAUGGAGAAUGCUUAGAAAAGUUUGCGUUCUCAAGCUUCUUAGCCGCAAAACUUUGGAUUCUUUCUACGAGCUUCGACGCAAAGAAAUCAGGGAAAGAACGAGGUAUUUGUACCAGCAAGGUCAGCUAGAAUCACCGGUGAAUGUCGGAGAUCAGUUGUUCUUGACGAUGAUGAAUCUAACGAUGAAUAUGUUAUGGGGAGGUUCGGUGAAAGCAGAGGAGAUGGAGAGUGUUGGAACAGAGUUUAAAGGAGUGAUUUCUGAGAUAACUAGGCUUUUGGGUGAGCCUAAUGUUUCGGAUUUUUUCCCGUGGAUAGCAAGAUUCGAUCUUCAAGGGCUUGUGAAGAAGAUGCGUGUGUGUGCUCAUGAGCUCGAUGCUAUAUUCGAUCGAGCCAUUGAGCACAUGCAAAGGCUAAAAAGUAGGGAUGAUGAUGGUGAAUGCAAAGACUUUUUGCAACAUAUGAUGAAGUUAAAGGACCAAGAAGUUGACUCAGAGGUUCCCAUUACGGUUAACCAUGUCAAAGCCGUACUCAUGGUAAUUAAUUUGGUUUUCAGUUUCAUAAUCUUAGAAUAUAAAACUUGCAUUUGGGAGGAUACCAAACUUCUGGAAAGUGAAAAAAAUAAGCAGAAUGGAAUUAACAAAAAGUUAAUAUAGUUACGAAAAUGCUGAAUUAUGGUUUCUAGAUUAAACUUCUCAUUAGUAUUACCAGUAACAUUUGAAACUUCAGAACUUAGAUGUCUGUAGUAGUCAGUAGAAUACAUUGGGCAUGACUGGUAUUGAGGAUAGCUGAAUAAUAGAAUAGUCGAAUCGAAAAAAACCUUAAAUAAAUCUUAAAAUGUCAAAGAUGAAUAAAGUUUUGUAUAAACUAGUUAUAAAUUUAGAACAUGUGUGAUGGAUAGAAAAAUAACGUUUUAAUUUUUACUUUUAUCAUUCAGUGGAAUCAUGUUUUUGAAACUUGAAAAAGAUACAUCAUUGAAACAAUUGGUUACUCUAACUUUUGAUCUGAUAUCUUUAGAAUCCGCCAUUUCUGCGUAUUACCAACCAGAGUUAUAGCUAUUUCAAAUUUUAGAUGACAGCUGCAUGCUAGGUAGAUUAGAUGAUUAUUGGUUCAUGAUACUGAUUUGAUCAAAAUGUUUGUUAUGUAUUUGUGAAGGAUAUGGUGGUCGGUGGUACAGAUACAUCAACGAAUACGAUAGAGUUUGCGAUGGCCGAGCUUAUAAGCAAACCGGAGUUGAUAAAGAGAGCACAGCAAGAGCUAGACGAAGUUGUCGGAAAAGACAAUAUUGUUGAAGAAUCACACAUCACUAGACUUCCUUACAUAUUAGCCAUUAUGAAAGAAACACUUAGGCUUUAUCCAACCAUUCCUUUGUUAGUCCCUCACCGUCCGGCUGAAACCGCGGUAGUGGGCGGCUACACCAUUCCUAAAGACACUAAGAUCUUUAUCAAUGUUUGGUCUAUUCACAGAGAUCCAAAUGUGUGGGAGAAUCCAACUGAGUUUCGUCCUGAGAGGUUUCUUGAUAAUAAAUCUUGUGAUUUCACCGGAACCGAUUAUAGCUUUCUUCCUUUCGGAUCUGGCCGGCGAAUUUGCGCAGGUGUAGCACUCGCCGAGAGGAUGGUCUUGUACACUCUAGCUACGCUAUUGCAUUCGUUUGAUUGGAAGAUUCCAGAAGGACAUGUGUUGGAUUUGGAAGACAAGUUUGGGAUUGUCUUGAAGCUCAAGACCCCUCUUGUUGCCUUGCCCGUUCCGAGAUUGUCCGAUUCAAAUCUUUACCUAUAGAAGCUAAGAUUGUAAUCUUUAGAAAUUCUUGUAUCAUACAAAAACAACAAAUUACUACCGGGUUUUUCGAGGUAAAGUACAAUGUAUUUAUAACGUUUUUUAAGCGUCAUAUGUGAUUCUAUUAUACAAAACCAAAUAAUUAUUACGGUAAAGUAUGAUGUUAUUUACGAAGUUUUAAUAUAAGUUUUAUAAUGUAAAUCAAACGUCAGAUUCGGUAAAAAAAUAACAAAAGUAUUGAAUUUGGACCAUUUGUUUUAUCUAAAUGUUUGGAUAUUAGUUUCGUGCCAGUCCAAUAUUCUCUAAUCUGAACUGCAUAACUCACAUCACAGUUCUCUCUGUUAAUUACUAAAAAUAGAAGAAACAAAACAACUUACUAAACUUAAUUACGAUGAUGGUUGAUAAACGCAAAUUGUGAGUUUCUUACUAAACUUAAUUACGAUGGGUGAUAAACGCAAAUCAGAAAACUUUGAGUUAUAAGCGCAUCUUUAUUGGUGAAAAUCUUUUAAAGUAUCUCAAACAUAAAAAAUACUAGUAUUUAAAUAGAACUUGAUUAUUUUUCAAAAUUUUAAUCUAAAUUAAAAAUUAAACUAAUAUAAAAAGAAUACAUUUGUUUUGAGGUUCUCAUGGGUUCUCAUAAGUUAUCAUUUGAAAAUCUCUUCUCAUUCUCUAUACUCUCGUGAGAAUCUCUCAAUGAAGAUGCUUUUAGAACCUCAAAAACAUCUCUAAAACUAAUUCAAGGACCUCAAAAACAUCUUUAAAAGCUAAUCUAAUUUUCGCUUUAGAUAUAAGUUUAGAGAAAAACCUUCUCAAAUAUUAAUCUAUUCAUACUCUAAGAAAAGCAUACUGGAUCAAUGAUAUGGAUAUAUAGAAAAAAUUUAUGGAAUUUAAAGAUCUAAAAUUAUUUAGACAAAUUUUACAGAAAAAAUGUUAUGAAUGAAUAAUAAUCUAUUGUAAGAAAAAGAAUAGAAUAAUUCUAAAUUGAGUAUAAAGAACUAUUAUUCUGGAAUUAUUAUAUUUUGUUAAACCAUUCGUAAUUUUAACAUAUUUUAAAUUUUCACUAACAUAUUUUAUUUAUAAAAGAAAUAGUAAGUUAAAAAAAAAUUAGUAUGUAUGAAAAGCUUAAAAUAUCUAUCAAAUUUUUUAUUGAGAGAGUAAAAACAGUGGAAAGUACCAUUCUAAACACAGUAAGAGUAUAAGAGCAUGUUUAUCAGGAGUUCAUCAAGAAUUCAUGGCAUAGGUUUUAAGAUGAAAUUCAAUAAAAUAAUAAUUUUAAAUGUAGAGGUUUAUGGUCAAAGUUCUUCUCGACGAAGCUGAAGAAUCCAAAUUCAUCCAGAUUCAUCACACGUAAAGCAUUCUGAUUAGUUCCAAAAAAUAAUUUUCGAAUUUAAAAAAAAUAAAAAAAACAAAAUAAAAAAAGUAUUAUUAUAUUAAGACGAACCCAUUUCUCAGAAGUCAUUGAUGGACAUGGUCUAACAUCCGCUCAAAAAGAUAUCAUCUAGACCCUGAAGUCUUCAUUCAUGAUUGGCUUUCCCCGUUAUUAAUAUAUUACUGUAUACUAUUGGUAAAGUUAAGGUGAAAUAACUAACAUAAAGAACAAUUUCCUUUGUUUUAAUCUCAUAAUUCUCAAAAAUGUCACCGAUUUCACAUCUCUUCACCGACAACACAAUUAAGCUCCUUCCUUAUGCAAUUCUCAUUCUCACAGCAAUCUUUUCAAUUUUCUGGUACCUCUUUAAACGCGGACCGCAACCGCCUCUGCCGCCUGGACCGCGAGGGCUACCUAUUGUCGGAAACCUCCUGUUUCUUGACCCUGACCUUCACACUUACUUUACAAAACUCGCUCAAGAACACGGUCCAAUCUUCAAACUUAAUCUCGGCUCAAAACUAACCGUCGUGGUCAACUCUCCAUCGCUGGCUCGAGAGAUCUUGAAAGAACAAGACAUCAACUUCUCAAACCGAGACGUCCCUCUCACAGUUCAAGCCGCUACUUAUGGUGGUAUCGACAUCGUUUGGUUACCAUACGGUGCCGAAUGGAAAAAGCUUAGAAAAGUUUGUGUUCUCAAGCUUCUUAACCGCAAAACUUUGGAUUCUUUCUACGAGCUUCGGCGCAAGGAAGUCAGGGAAAGAACGAGGUAUUUGUACCAGCAAGGUCAACAAGAAUCACCGGUGAACGUCGGAGAUCAGUUGUUUUUAACGAUGAUGAAUCUAACGAUGAAUAUGUUAUGGGGAGGUUCGGUUAAAGCAGAGGAGAUGGAGAGUGUUGGAACAGAGUUUAAAGGAGUGAUUUCCGAGAUGACUAGGCUUGCGGGUGAGCCUAAUGUUUCGGAUUUCUUUCCGUGGGUAGCAAGAUUCGAUCUUCAAGGGCUUGUGAAGAAGAUGCGUGUGUAUGUUCACGAGCUCGAUGCUAUAUUCGAUCGAGCCAUCGAGCACAUGCAAAGGGUACAAAGUAGGGGUGAUGGUGAAUGCAAAGACUUUUUGCAACAUUUGAUGAAGUUAAAGGACCAAGAAGUUGACUCAGAGGUUCCCAUCACGGUUAACCAUGUCAAAGCCGUACUCGUGGUAAUUAAUUUGGUUUGAGUUUCAUAAUCUUAGAAUAUAAAACAUGCAUUUGGGAGGAUACCAAACUUUUGGAAAGUGAACGUAUAUUCUAUUUUUAGAAAUUUAGAUAGUUCUUCUUAUAUUGGAGCUAAUAAACCCAUGAUAAAAUCAUUAAUCAACAAAAAGUCGAUAUAGUUACGAAAAUGUAGAAUUAUGGUUUCUGAACUAAAUCUGUCAUUUGUAUUGCUAUAUUUUGCAGUCAUGAUAAGUCAUAAACUUUCAUUUGGUAAAAUAUGUUGGAAAUUCAUUAUUGUUCAGCCAUUCCACUAUUCCGCAGAUUGGGUUCCCAAUCAAAAAAUUUCCCACUUCAAAAUUUAGAUGUCAAUUGUAGAGUACAUUGAUUAGUCUGAGUUUCAAUAUGAUAUUUUUAUAAUCUGCCAUUUCUGCAGAUUACCAAUUAGAGUCUUAGCUACUUCAUAAUUUAGAUGGCAGAUGCAUGCUAUGUAGAUUAGUCUGAGUUCAUGAUAGUGAUUUGAUCAAAAUGUUUGUUAUGUUUAUGUAAAGGAUAUGGUGUUUGGUGGUACGGAUACAUCUACGAACACAAUGGAGUUUGCGAUGGCGGAGCUUAUAAACAAACCGGAGUUGAUGAAGAGAGCGCAACAGGAACUAGACGAAAUUGUUGGCAAAGACAAAAUUGUUGAAGAAUCACACAUCACUAGACUUCCUUACAUAUUAGCCAUAAUGAAAGAAACGCUUAGGCUUUACCCAACCAUUCCUUUGUUAGCCCCUCACCGUCCAGCUGAAACCGCGGUUGUGGGUGGUUACACCGUCCCUAAAGAUACCAAGAUAUUCAUCAAUGUUUGGUCUAUUCAGAGAGACCCAAAUGUGUGGGAGAAUCCAACUGAGUUUCGUCCUGAGAGGUUUCUUGAUAAUAAAUCUUGUGAUUUCACCGGAACCGAUUAUAGCUUUCUUCCUUUUGGAUCUGGCCGGCGAAUUUGCGCAGGUGUAGCACUCGCCGAGAGGAUGGUCUUGUACACUUUAGCGACGCUAUUGCAUUCGUUUGAUUGGAAGAUUCCAGAAGGACAUGUGUUGGAUUUGGAAGAAAAGUUUGGGAUUGUCUUGAAGCUCAAGACCCCUCUUGUUGCCUUGCCCGUUCCGAGGUUGUCCGAUUCAAAUCUUUACCUAUAGAAGCUAAGAUUGUAAUCUUUAGUAGCAUACAAAAACCAAAAAAUUAUUACCGGAUUUCUAGUAUAAUGUACAAUGUAUUUAUAAUGUGUUUCAAACAUCAUAUGUGAUACUCUUAUACAAAACCAAAUAAUUACUACGGUGAUGUAGGAUGUUAUUAAUGAAGUUUUAAUAAGUUCUAUAAUAUAUAUCAGACGUCGGUAAAAAUAGCAAAAUUUGGGCCUUCUUUUUUACCUAAAUGUUUGGCUAAUAGUUUCGUGUCAGUCCAAUAUUCUUUAAUCUGAAUUGCAUAACUCACAUGGUCUGAUCUUGUUCUAUAGCUUCAUAUAUUAUUAAUUAGAUGUUUGGUCUGCACCUUAUGUGGACAUAAGUACAAUGUUAUAAACUAAAAACUGAAAAGAAUUAAAUAACUAUUUAAGACAUACAUAAUAAAAUAAAUCAAAUUCAAAAAGUAAAUAUCAUCCAAAAUUAAAGACAAAAAUGUUUACUAACUAAGGAUAUUGAACUCACAAACCAAUUGAAUUAUAAAAAAAACGAGUUAUUCAUCUUCACAUAGUUGUUUUUCAUUUUCUUCUUUUUACUUCUUAUUUAUGUUUUACUUUUUCUUGUUUAUCGUUUUUUCCUUAUAUUUCUUCAUUGUCUUCCAUCUUUAUCUCUCAUUCUUCUCCCAUGUUUUCAUCUUAGUUUUUUGUCAUUUUCUUUUAGUUCCUUUUUCUCCUAUUCAUUCUAUAUGUCUUUUCUUACUUCUUAUUCUUUAAGUUUUUUUGUCACAUCUUCUUCUUUUCGCUAUUUUCCACAUCUUUUCCUCAUCUUCUUCCUAUUCUACUUCUUUUUCUUCUUCUUCUUCUUCUUCUUCUUCUUCUUCAUCGCCUUCGUCUUCUUUAUUCUCUCCGACUUCAUCAUAUUCUUAUUUCCUUUCGUCUUUUAUAUCAAUCAAAUAUAUGUACUUGAAAAUUUUAACUCUCUUUCUCCUCCUCCUCUACGUGUCCCUCUCUAUCAUUCUCUCUCUCUCUCUUUCAAUAUUUCUCUCUCUCAUUCUCUCCCUUUUCCCUCGUCCGAAAUUGUAUAUAUUACACAAUUUAGAUAAUUACAUUUAAAGUAAGAAUUGUUUCAAAUAUAAAAAAAUUGAAAUAUAGAAAAUACGAACUAACAUAGAUUUAAUAUCACGUACCUAUAAUGUUUAACUUUCUCCACCGUUUCUCUUUCUCCCUCUCUUCCCUAUCUCUCUCUUUCUCUCUCUCUCUCUCUCUCUCUCCCUCUCUCUCUUUAUUUCUCUCCCUCAAACAUACUCUCUCUCCAUCUACAUGUUCCUGUGAUCUGUUAAAAGUUUAAUCCCUAAAGCUAUUCUGCAAGAGCAUAGAUGUGCAGUUGUAGUAUUGAAGGGGUCGAACCACAGAGACGAGAGAUUCGCACAAUAAACUAUCUAGGCUUGAACUACGCUAAGCAAACACAAUGAAAUUAAAAGCAACAAUGAAAGCAAAACGGUUGUAAACUCUAUGGAAAAGAUUUAGGCUCAGGGUGUUUCUCAGGAAAUCAGAGAAUGCAGAUUAAUCGAUAAAUCAGGGUUCAGGGUUAAGCACGGUUCUUGAACUCAAAUCAUGAAAUUAUAACUAACCAACUUCCGUUGCGAGAAUGAUCUAAGUAUAAAUCUCAGAAUUCUAAAUUCUUUUGCCAAUCCUAAAGACAUAAACCAGCUUUAAUGCUCAAGUUCGAUAUGUUCACAAAGUAUCUAAACCAAAUUCUUUUGCGAAUAGCUACUUUGCUCACCCUAGGUUCUUUCCAGUUAUUCAAUUACACUUUCGUGUCAAUCAAUUAACCUAAGCUCUAAGUUCUAGGUGGUCAGUCCAGAAUUAGCUUUAAGAACAACCUAUGGUGAAAAACUAAAUAGAUUAUGAACCCUAACUAAUCAACCAAUCCAAGAUCCAAAGAAACCCUUUAUGAGAACCCUAAACCUAACAGGCAAACUACUCAGACAUGGAGAUUGAAGCAAUAAACAUGAAUGAAUAGAAUGCAGAAAGCAGUAAAUAGAUUAAUAAACAGGGGUUCGAAAUCUUCUCUCUCCGGAACAGAGUUUCAGACUUGUCUCCCCAAAAGCUCUCAAAAACAAAAGUUCUCUCUAAAAAAAUCUAAGGUCUCGAUAUAAGGUGGCUAAAAACCCUAUUAAAUACUAAAAAUCACGUGUUGGGCUUCUUUGUAAUUAUUGGAGACUUUUGGGCCCAACUCCUUCUUCAAACAGGAAACAAAAUCACGUUUUCCUUAUUUCUGCAACAAGUGUCGAGCGUCACUCUCCAAGGUGUCGAGCGACACCAUUGCACAUGAUUUUUUUUUUCGCGAAUUUGAUUCUGGUUUAGCUCCAAAGUGCUCCAAAGUCUCAAGUUAAGCUCCAAACGUACCUAUGACCUGUAAAAACUCCAAAAGACUCGAAAAACACUAGAAAUACUCUAUAAAUAAGACCUAUACCAUGGUUUAAAACCAUAAAAACCAUGAUAUAUCAACUCCCCCAGACUUAGCAUUUGCUUGCCCUCAAGCAAACAGAACACCAAAUAAGAGAAAGAGGUUUGAAAACACAGAGACUCAACCUUUCACUGGAACAUCGCUUUUGACCGAUCACCCUGCAACUCAACUAGUGCUUCAUCAUUCCAAAUCGAACCACCAUGUACUUCUCCGCAGAUAUUCACAGCCUCCCAGAUUAAAUCCAAAAUUCCACAACAUUGUCCAUAAACCCUCAUCGCUGGAUCUCACUGAUGAUUCCAGUGCCAAGAACCUUCUAAACUAUUUCUCGUACUAUACUCAAACAAAUCAGCCAUACACACUUUGGUACUUUUCUCUCCCCCAGACUUAUUCUUUUCGCACACUCAUCAUCUCUUUCUUUUUUAUGGCGUAUACACGAUAAGGUUAAAGCUGCGAGUACUGAUGGUGUUUUCCAUUGAGUCCCCGAGUUGUCCCCUUACCUUGUAUCAAAGGUUUUCGGCGAAUAGUGGGGUCAUAGGAAACUUUCCUACCCCUCGCUUCCUUCCUUUGUGUGAUCAUUCCAACUUAGAAGUGAAAUAAUGGGAUCCUUGGAAAUUUUCCUAGCCCUUCACUCCUAAGUGAAAAUCAUCUCAAUCUUUUUGCCUUUUUCUUUCUUGUUUCAACUCUUUUUUUAGCUCGUCACAGGGAGAGAAACACCAACAUUAGAUUUCACAUAGGCUUUCAUUUGUCAAGUAUGAAUGAGGAAUCAAGCUCUAUGAACAUUAGUCACAUCAAUGAGGUAAAAGAAAGAGUUCAGAAAUUAGCUCAGGUUAGUGGAUUCUGUUGGAAACAUGGACGCCUUUAGUCAACUGGUCAGUCUUUGGAUUUUUCAUUAGUCGGAUCUAGACUGAAUCUGCAGCAAUAGUCACUUAGAUGAAAGGUCAUCACAAUAAUUCCAGGAAAAACCUCAUAAUCUCCAACAAGUUUUGACUCAAAAACGUUUUGACACGACUGACUCUUAAGAAAAACAAACACAAUGUCAGCAACUACCUCCCCCAGACUUAAACAACACUGUCCCCAGUGUUAUCUAGUCCGAAGUUGGUGAAACAAAAGAAAUGAAACAGAGAAACGCAGGAAAAACAGAGAACUUACCUGGCUGCAAUGAUGGUGUCAAGCGACACUGAUGAUGGUGUCGUGCGACACUUGUUCUUCUCGUACCAAAUUGCAACAGACCACUCCGAAUUUCUGGUUCGACUCCGGUUUCCUGAUUUCCUAUUAUUUGUUUUUUUUUUACUGGUGUCGACCGACACUGAUGGUGGUGUCGCUCGACACUAACCACUUCGUAUCUGUUACACCUAAAACACAAAAACGAAAAAUGAAAAUCAAAAGAAACAAAAAGACUUAUGUACAGAUUUACCAGUGGGUUGCCUUCCACCAAACGCUUUUUUUUAAGUCACUAGCUUGACUAUGGAUAGAUUAUGCAUCUGGUGGAUCAGACAGUGGCAAAGAGUGCCUCUGUGAAAGUCGUCUCAUCCAUGGUGGUUUGUAAGCGUUGAGCGCAUGAGGUCGUCCAAGGAAUGCAGGAAUAGCACCAGGGUGAGAUCUGUGUUUGGGUGACCUUGACCUAUUCUUUGGUGGAGAUGAAUGGAACAUGAUGUUGUGAGCUUUUUGUGCAAUAGCAGUUACUGGUUCUGUAGACGUCUUAGUCAACUCAGGUUGAUCUUUCACCUUCUCAGCAUCAAACACGUUCUGAUCUCCAACUAUCACUUCAGGUAUUGCACUGACUUGGAAUGUCUGACCAUCUAUGGUUGGAUCCUUCAGCUUCUCCAUCUUGAAAGUCAUGAUGGUAUCUCCCAAGUAGAGAUCAAGGUUACCAUGCUUGACAUCAAUUACCUUUCCAGCUGUAGCUAAAAACGAUCUUCCCAAGAUAAGAGGAUCUUUGGGUUCCUCUCCAUAUUCCAGAACCACGAAAUCUGUAGGAAUUAUGCAAUCACCAACUUUAAUCGGAACAUCCUCCAAAACACCUUUUGGGAUUCUUUUAGAUCGAUCUGCUAGGAUCAAAGAGAUCUUAGUUGGCUUGAAGUCAGUCAUCCCAAGGUUAACAGCUACAGAGUAUGGCAUGAGGUUGACACUCGAACCAAGAUCACACAGCGAUCUCUUGAACUUCUCCAAGAAGAUAGAGCAGUCCAAAACAAAGCUUCCUGGGUCCGAGAGUUUCUCUGGAAUCUUAUUCUGAAUCACAACACUGACUUAUUCAGAAAUCAUCAUCACUCCUUCCUCAUGACUCAGAUUAUUAGUCACCAUCCUCUUCAUAUAGUGUUUGAGAGUAGGAGCAAUCUUCACAGUAUCAACCAAAGGAAUCUCAAUCACAAGCUUCUCCAUCAAAGCCUUGCAUCUGACAUCAUCUAUCUCCUGCUUGGACUUCCUAGGACUCCUUGGGUAAAGAACCUUAGGUUUGUAAACUUUUUCCUCAGCAGAUUUCGGACUUUGAGGAAUAUCAGCUUCGCUCUGCAAUUGGUGACGCGCGACACUGGUUGUGGUGUCGCUCGACACCGGCUCUGCAACUUCGAAAUUUUCUUCAGAUUCGUCCAACUCCACGAUUUCAUCCUCAGAAACACCAUUUUUCAGCACAAGAGUCAACUUUUUACCACUUUUUACCACUUCUUAACGAGAUGGCACUGACGUAAUGCCUAGGAUUGGUAUCAGUCUUCCCAGGAAGGAAUCCUUCUUGCCUUUUUACAGACUCUGCAGUCUGAGCAACCUGAGUAUCAAGCUUCUUGACAUGAGUGUUCAGAACUUCAAUUUUUCCAUUCAGAUCCAGAUACAUAGCAUCAAUCUUCCCAUUGAAAUCCACAGUCAUCUUCUAGUGACCUUCCAAGAUCUGUUCCAGCAUAGACUUCACCUCAUUAUCUAGAGUUUGAGGAGGAGGAGAGAACCAUAAUUCCUUAAAAAACUAUUGUUGGAGUAGGAUGUCUGGUACUAAACAGGUCUAGAGUUGCAACCAAAAGAGUUCUGAUUACCUGUGAAGGUACUCCUCUGAUUAUUUCCAUUGUAAUUCAUGUUUCUUUGCUGAGUACCAAAUCUCUGACCUUGAAAUCCAGCUCCAUUGAUGAAGUUAACAUCCUCUUCCUCAAGUUCGAAACUCUCAACAUCUGCAGGAAAUCUGACAGACUUCUUACCCACAAGAAGGCUAUGCACAGAGUCUAGCUUAGCCUUCACCUCAGCAAUCUGCGAUCCAUCUAUGUUCCCAACCUGCUUCCUUCGCUGAUAGUCUGCAUUCUUGGUACUAUUGCUAGAUGCCAAGUUCUCAAUAAGCACAACAACAUCUUCAGGGUAUCUGGUGUUGAAGUUCCCAUUGCUUGCAGCAUCAAGAGCCAUCUGAUAUCUCCAAUCAACAUCUCUGAAAAAAUACCCAGCAGCUGAACAUCACUGAAAUCAUGAUGUGGACAAUCUCGCUGGUACGACUUGAAUCUCACCCAAGCAGCUUUGAAUGCUUCAGUUGGUCAUUGAGAAAACGUUGAGAUUUUGAGUCUCAGUUCCUCAGACCUGGCAUCAUCAUAGAAAUUUUGCAGAAAAGCGUUCCUGGUCUCUUCCCAAGUAGUUAGUGAUCCUGACUCCAACUGCUUCAGCCAGUUAGCUGCUUUUCCAGCAAGAGAGUAAGGAAACAGCUUGCAGAAAAGAUAAUCAUUGGACACUCCAUUGUAUUUGAUGCUGGUGACCAAGUCCUCAAACCUCUCGAUGUGAUCCAUAGGGUGCUCAUGAGAAUGACCAUGAAAAGGAUGCUGUCCCACAAGAGUGUAGUACACAGGCUUCAACUCAAAAUCAUUCCUUUGAAACGCAGGAGCGCGAAUCGCGGAUCGAUUUGCAUAGAACUGCUCAGGCCUGUUGUAAUCUCCAAUCGUUCUUCCACGACCAGCUGCAGGUGCAGGUUCCCUCACGUUCUGUUCUUCUGGAGCAUUCCUCUGAUUUGGAAUGAUCACAGCAUUACCACGCGGUGCAGGUGGUGGGUACUGGUUAACAACAUUCACCGGUAAAGGUGCUGGUGGAAUGAUGUUACCAUCUCCAUCAAGUCUUUGGCCUCUCUCAUUGCACACAUGACCAUCUUGGUCUCUCCAGAUACCAGCAUCAUCACACACAAGUCUGUUUGCGUUCUCCAUCUCUGCCGGUUGCUGAGACAAAGAGAAAGAACAAAUGAAGUAACAAAGUAAAAAUAAAAUUAAGAAAAACGAUGGGUGUCGCGCGACACCAGUGCUGGUGUCGCUCGACACUAAGAAAAACUUAGUCGAAACUCAAGAACUAAAGUCUAAUGGCGAAAAUUAAGUCCCCGGCAACAGCGCCAAAACUUGAUCUGCUAAAAGUUUAAUCCCUAAAGCUACUCUGCAAGAGCACAGAUGUGCAGUUGUAGUAUUGAAGGGGUCGAACCACAGAGACGAGAGAUUCGUACAAUAAACUAUCUAGGCUUGAACUACGCUAAGCAAACACAAUGAAAUUAAAAGCAACAAUGAAAGCAAAAAGGUUGUAAACUCUAUGGAAAAGAAUUAGGCUCAGGGUGUUUCUCAGGAAAUCAGAGAAUGCAGAUUAAUCGAUAAAUCAGGGUUCAGGGUUAAGCACGGUUCUUGAACUCAAAUCACGAAAUUAUAACUAACCAAUUUCCGUUGCGAGAAUUAUCGAAGUCUAAAUCUCAGAAUUCUAAAUUCUUUUGCCAAUCCUAAAGACAUAAACCAGCUUUAAUGCUCAAAUUUGAUAUGUUCACAAAGUAUCUAAACCAAAUUCCUUUGCGAAUAGCUACUUUGCUCACCCUAGGUUCUUUCCAGUUAUUCAAUUACACUUCCAUGUCAAUCAAUUAACCUAAGAUCUAAGUUCUAGGUGGCCAGUCCAGAAUUAGCUUUAAGAACAACCUAUGGUGAAGAACAAAAUAGAUUAUGAACCCUAACUAAUCAAUCAAUCCAAGAUCUAAAGAAACCAUUUAUGAGAACCCUAAACCUAAUAGGCAAACUACUCAGACAUAGAGAUUAAAGCAAUAAACAUGAAUGAAUAGAAUGCAGAAAGCAGUAAAUAGAUUAAUAUACAGGGGUUCGAAAUCUUCUCUCUUCGGAACAGAGUUUCAGACUUGUCUCCCCAAAAGCUCUCAAAAACAAAAGUUCUCUCUAAGAAAAUCUAAGGUCUCGAUAUAAGAUGGCUAAAAACCCUAUUAAAUACUAAAAAUCACGUGUUGGGCUUCCUUGUAAUUAUUGGAGACUUUUGGGUCCAACUCCUUCUUCAAACAAGAAACAAAAUCACGUUUUCCUUAUUUCUGCAACAAGUGUCGAGCGUCACUCUCCAAGGUGUCGAGCGACACCAUUGCACAUGAUUUGUCCUUCGCGAAUUUGAUUCUGGUUUAGCUCCAAAGUGCUCCAAAGUCUCAAGUUAAGCUCCAAACGUACCUAUGACCUGUAAAAACUCCAAAAGACUCGAAAAACACUAGAAAUACUCUAUAAAUAAGACCUAUACCAUGGUUUAAAACCAUAAAAACCAUGAUAUAUCAACUCCCCCAGACUUAGCAUUUGCUUGCCCUCAAGCAAACAGAACACCAAAUAAGAGAAAGAGGUUUGAAAACACAGAGACUCAACCUUUCACUGGAACAUCGCUUUUGACCGAUCACCCUGCAACUCAACUAGUGCUUCAUCAUUCCAAAUCGAACCACCAUGUACUUCUCCGCAGACAUUCACAGCCUCCCAGAUUAAAUCCAAAAUUCCACAACAUUGUCCAUAAACCCUCAUCGCUGGAUCUCACUGAUGAUUCCAGUGCCAAGAACCUUCUAAACUAUUUCUCGUACUAUACUCAAACAAAUCAGCUAUACACACUUUGGUACUUUUCUCUCCCCCAGACUUAUUCUUUUCGCACACUCAUCAUCUCUUUUUUUUUUAUGGCGUAUACACGAUAAGGUUAAAGCUGCGAGUACGAUAAGGUUAAUACUAAUUAAGUAUUCUUUAAUUAGUUUGUUACAUUUUGGGUUGGUUUUGGUAUAUAAAUUGUUACGCGUUCGAAAUAUGUUUUUAAAACGGCACAUAUAUAAAUUCAAACAAGAUCGUUAAAACCUCAAAAUCUAUAUAUAAAUUUGAGGUUAAAACUGAAUUAUUUUUGAUAAAUUUUAUUACAACAAAUUAAUAUCUAAAUAAAUAUAACUGUUUAAAUAUGAUUUUUAUCAGUAUGAUAACAUUCGCAUGGGUACAAAAUCUAGUUACUAUAAAUAGAAGAAACAAAACAACUUAGCAUUAUUUCAAAUAAAUGUAGUUAAUCAUGAGUUUCUUACUGAAUUUAAUUAAGAUGGGUGAUAAACGAAAAUCAUGAUGGGUGAUAAACGCAAUUCAGAGAAGUUUGAGUUAUUAGGACCUGAAGAGCAUCUCUAAAGAUAAUCUAAUUCUCGUUUUAGAUAUUAGUUUAGAGAAAAAUCUCCUCAAAUAUUACUCUAUUCCAACUCUAAGAAAUGCAUAUUAGGUCAAUUAUUUGGAUAUAUAGGAAGAUUUUAAAGAGUUUAAGGUCUAAAGAAUUUUAAACAAAGUUUACAGAAAAAUUGUUAAGAAUGAAUGACGGUAAUCUAUUUUAAGAAUAAGAGUAGUAUUAUUCUAAAUAUUGAGUAAAAUAUUCAUCAUAAUAUUUUGGAAUUAUUAGAUUUUGUUAACAAAUUCGUAAUCUUAACAUACAUUUUUAAUUUUUUCUAACAUAUUUCAUUUAUGACAAAAAAAAAUAGAGUGAAAGUUCUUUUGGUUGGUUGACCAAGAGUUCAUUCAUGUUUUCACACGAGAAGAUAUAGAGUUUGAUUUCUGGAGAUGCAAAUUAAAAAAAAAGGGUAAAUUUAAGAGAUUUUCAAUGCCGUGCAAGAAAAACUAUUCAUCGUGGUUAGUGUGCAGACAGAACACCGUGGAUUUUGUAGGUCAGAAUUGUCUGCAUGAUUUACAAAAAGUGAAAAUUAGUAUGUAUGAAAAGCUUAAAAUAUCUUCAGUUUUAUAUUGAGAGAGUAAUAAUAUCCAAGUACCAUUCCAAAAAAUAUUGGAAAGUAUAACAUCCGCUCAAAACUUAUCAUCUUUGAGACCGUUAAGUCUUCAUUCGUGAUUGGCUUUGUCCAUUAAAAUUUAUUUCUGUUUACCCCUACAGCUGUUUGCUAAUAGUAAAGGUAAAAUAACUAACAUAAAGCAUAGAGAACACUUUCCUUUACUUAAUCUCAUAAUUCUCAAAAAUGUCACCAAUUGUACAUGUCUUAACAAACAACACAAUUAAUCUCCUUCCUUAUGCAAUUCUCAUUCUCACAGCAAUCUUUUCGAUUCUCUGGUACCUCAAUAAACGCGGACCGCAACCGCCUCUGCCGCCUGGACCGCGAGGGCUACCUAUUGUCGGAAACCUCCUGUUUCUUGACCCUGACCUUCACAACUAUUUCACAAACAUCGCUCAGAAAUACGGUCCAAUCUUCAAACUCAAUCUCGGCUCAAAGCUAACCGUCGUGGUCAACUCUCCAUCGCUGGCUCGAGAGAUCUUGAAAGACCAAGACAUCAACUUCUCAAACCGAGA